GGCGAGCAUCCCUGGCGGAGGGGGCUCCUCGAGGAAGCGGUGCGGAGCGAGGUGAGGCUGAGGUGAGGAGGGGGAGCGGGGGCCCUUCCCCCACUCCGCAGACACCGCCCGGACUCGGGGUGACUGCGGGGGGGGGGGGUGAGAAGCCGCCAUAUCGCCCUCAGGGUCCCCGCUCUCGUUCCCUCAGUCGUUCCCUGCGCCGGGGGCUGCUGGGAUUUGUAGUUCCCUCUCGGCGAGACGCCCGUUUGAGGCAAGCGAGCUCGGGGAGGCCCGGAACUACAAGAACCAUGAAGCACCGCGGCGAGGCGCUAGGCCGCCGGGUGAGCAAUGAAUGGUACGUAGCUGCGCCCCGGGCUUCCUGGGAUUUGUAGUUCAAUCCCAGAGAGUCGCCCGUUUGAGGCAAGCGAACCCUGGGAGUCAGCGAACUACAAGACCCAUGAAUCGCCGCGGCUCCUCCCGCUUCUCCCGCGGAGCGAGCGUCCCUAGCGGAAAGAGGGGGCUCCGCGAGGAGGCGAUGGGGAGCGGGGUGAGGAGGGGGAUCGGGGGCCCUUCCCCCGCCGCACGGACACCGCCCGGACUCGGGGUGACUGCGGGGGAGAAGCAGCCAUAACGCCCUCAGGAUCCCCGCUCCCGUUACCUCAGUCCGUCGCUGCGCCCGGGGCUGCUGGGAUUUGUAGUUCCCUCCCGGCGAGCCGCCCGUUUGAGGCAAGUAGGCCAGGGAAGGCCGCGAACUACAACACCCAUGAUGCAACGCGGCGGGCGCCCAGAGCUGCGGGGCAAGACGACUGCGGGGGAGAAGCCGCCAUAACGCCCUCAGGAUCCCCGCUCCCGUUUCCUCAGUCCUUCUCUGCGCCGGGGCCUGCUGGGAUUUGUAGUUCGCUCCCGGCGAGCCACCCGUUUCAGGCAAGCGGGCCAGGGGAGGCUGCGAACUACAUGGACCAUGAGGCCGCGCGGCGGGCGCCCAGAGCCGCGGGGCCUGCAAUCGUCCGUCGCCGCCUCUCGGCAUUCUGGGAUUUGUAGUUCAUUUCGGAAGAUCCGCCCGUUUGAGGCGAGCUAGCCCUGGGAGGCCACGAACUACAAGACCCAUGAUGCCCCGCGGCUCCUCCCGCCUCCCCCACCGGGCGAGCAUCUCUCAAGGUGGUUGCUGGAGGGUUGGGGACCGGGGCUGCUCACCCUCACGCGGGUUCCUGGGAUCUUGGGGGGUCCAGGGCUGUCCCCGCCCCCUUCGCUCCCCGGAGUCCGUUAGUUCGCAUCCCGCACCGUUGCCAUGGCAGCGGGGGAGGGGAACCCGCUCUUCAAAUGUAAAAUAAAUGAAUGAAUGCAUGCAUGCAUGAAUGAAUGCAUGAAUGAAUGCAUGCAUGAAU
Molecule: long non-coding RNA, 1364 nt
Organism: Meriones unguiculatus (Mongolian gerbil)
Lineage: Eukaryota; Metazoa; Chordata; Mammalia; Rodentia; Muridae
Exons: 2
Source: RefSeq, a predicted model, not a curated record